RNAcentral lists this transfer RNA (67 nucleotides) under Marmota monax (woodchuck). RNAcentral's name for it is "tRNA.Ala". Lineage: Eukaryota; Metazoa; Chordata; Mammalia; Rodentia; Sciuridae. The record is from RNAcentral.
GGCUGGGGCUCAGUGGUAGAACACUCGCCUAGCACGUGUGAGGCCCCGAGUUCGAUCCUCAGAACCA